Molecule: ribosomal RNA, 401 nt
Filed under: uncultured bacterium
Lineage: Bacteria
Description: bacterial SSU rRNA
Rfam family: Bacterial small subunit ribosomal RNA
Source: RNAcentral
UGAGGAAUAUUGGUCAAUGGGCGAGAGCCUGAACCAGCCAAGUAGCGUGAAGGAUGAAGUAUUUCGGUAUGUAAACUUCUAUCAGCAGGGAAGAAAAUGACGGUACCUGACUAAGAAGCCCCGGCUAACUACGUGCCAGCAGCCGCGGUAAUACGUAGGGGGCAAGCGUUAUCCGGAUUUACUGGGUGUAAAGGGUGCGUAGGCGGCGCGUUAAGUUAGUGGUAAAAUCGUCAGGCUAAACCUGAUCAUGCCAUUAAAACUGGCGGGCUCGAGUACAGACGAGGUAGGCGGAAUAAGUUAAGUAGCGGUGAAAUGCAUAGAUAUAACUUAGAACUCCGAUAGCGAAGGCAGCUUACCAAGCUGUAACUGACGCUGAUGCACGAGAGCGUGGGUAGCGAACA